CUUUCGCUCAUCCUCUCCUCGAGGAUCAAGGGAGCUCUGACCACAGACUGUGACUGGGAAGGGAGGCAGAGCGGCAGCUCAGGGGAAACGAGGCUGCAGUGGUGGUGGUAGGAAGAUGUCAGGCAAAGACGAGCAGCAGGAGCAAACUAUCGCCGAGGACCUGGUCGUGACCAAGUAUAAGAUGGGGCGCGACAUUGCCAACGGGAUACUUCGGUCCUUGGUGGACGCAUCUAGCUCAGGUGUGUCAGUACUGAGCCUGUGUGAGAAAGGUGAUGCCAUGAUUAUGCAAGAAACUGGGAAAAUCUUCAAGAAAGAAAAAGAGAUGAAGAGAGGUAUUGCUUUUCCCACCAGCAUUUCGGUAAAUAACUGUGUAUGUCACUUCUCCCCUUUGAAGAGAGACCAGGAUUACAUUCUCAAGGAAGGUGACUUGGUAAAAAUUGACCUUGGGGUCCAUGUGGAUGGCUUCAUCACUAAUGUAGCUCAUACUUUUGUGGCUGAUGUAGCUCAGGAGACCCAGGUAACAGGAAGGAAAGCAGAUGUUAUUAAGGCAGCUCACCUUUGUGCUGAAGCUGCCCUACGCCUGGUCACACCUGGAAAUCAGAACACACAAGUGACAGAAGCCUGGAACAAAGUUGCCCACUCAUUUAACUGCACGCCAAUAGAUGGUAUGCCUGUCACACCAGCUGAAGCAGCAUGUCAUCGAUGGAGAAAAAACCAUUACCCAGAAUCCCACAGACCAGCAGAAGAAGGACCAUGAAAAAGCUGAAUUUGAGGUACAUGAAGUAUAUGCUGUGGAUGUUCUCGUCAGCUUAGGAGAGGGCAAGGCCAAGGAUGCAGGAGAGAGAACCACUAUUUACAAACGAGACCCCUCCAAACAGUAUGGACUGAAAAUGAAAACUUGACGUGCCUUCCUCAGUGAGAUGAAAAGAUGUUUUGAUGCCAUGCCGUUUACUUUAAGAGCAUGAGAAGAUGAGAAGAAGGCUCAGAUGGGUGUGGUGGAGUGUGCCAAACAUGAACUGCUGCAACCAUUUAAUGUUCUCUAUGAGAAGGAGGGUGAAUUUGUUGCCCAGUUUAAAUUUACAGUUCUGCUCAUGCCCAGUGGCCCCAUGUGGAUAACCAGUGGUCCCUUCCAGCCUGACCUCUAUAAAUCUGAGAUGGAGGUCCAGGAUGCAGAGGUAAAGACCCUCCUCCAGAGUUCUGCAAGUUGAAAAACCCAGAAAAAGAAAAAAAAAGAAGGCCUUCAAGACUGCAGAGAAUGCCACCAAUGGGGAAACAUUAGAAGAAAAUGAAGCUGGGGACCAAGGUGGGUCCCAUCUCCCCAGCUUGCUGCUCCUGCCUCAUCCCCUUCCCACCACACCCCAGACUCUGUGAAGUGCAGUUCUUCUCCACCUAGGGCUGCCAGCAGAGUGGGGGUGUCCCUGCCCCCACCCCAGUUUUGCAACCCUUCCAACAACAACCAGCUCCAUCUGACUCUGGUCUUGGGAGGCGAGGCUUCCCAACCACACAAGACUUUAAAUGAACAAAAGAAAUUAAAUAAUAAAAUCAGGAGUCAAAAUUCAUCAUCUUCAAGCCCCUCUUUCUAGCCUUUUCUUUUACUCUCUGCUUGGGUCAAGGCAUGUAACCCUACAAUACAACAGAGCUAA
Molecule: RNA transcript, 1643 nt
Organism: Nomascus leucogenys (northern white-cheeked gibbon)
Lineage: Eukaryota; Metazoa; Chordata; Mammalia; Primates; Hylobatidae
Gene name: proliferation-associated protein 2G4 pseudogene
Exons: 1
Source: RefSeq, a predicted model, not a curated record